Molecule: transfer RNA, 72 nt
Filed under: Rattus norvegicus (Norway rat)
Lineage: Eukaryota; Metazoa; Chordata; Mammalia; Rodentia; Muridae
Rfam family: tRNA
About the family: Transfer RNA (tRNA) molecules are approximately 80 nucleotides in length. Their secondary structure includes four short double-helical elements and three loops (D, anti-codon, and T loops). Further hydrogen bonds mediate the characteristic L-shaped molecular structure. tRNAs have two regions of fundamental functional importance: the anti-codon, which is responsible for specific mRNA codon recognition, and the 3' end, to which the tRNAs corresponding amino acid is attached (by aminoacyl-tRNA synthetases). tRNAs cope with the degeneracy of the genetic code in two manners: having more than one tRNA (with a specific anti-codon) for a particular amino acid; and 'wobble' base-pairing, i.e. permitting non-standard base-pairing at the 3rd anti-codon position.
Source: Rfam by way of RNAcentral
GAGAGCUAGCUCGAUUGGUAAAAUGCUUGCUUUACAAGCAUGAAGACCUGAGUUUGAACCUCAGAAUUCACA